ACACAUUAAUCAUUUAAAAAAUUUAUAAGAGAUUCAAAUAAAUUUACUCUUUAAUUUAAUAUAUAAUAAUUAAUUUGAGAUAAGAUACAAUCUAAUUUCUAAUAUAAUAUUUUUAGAGUCCAACUAAAUCCGGUCUAACUCACAAGAACAUCUAUCUUACAAUUAUGAACUAAUUUUAUUUAGUUGUGCUCUGAACGAAGAAUUAUGUUUAAUCUUAACCCAAUUCUGUAUGCUCCAAAUUUUUAAUCAUUACUCUCCCUUCAGCUGAGACAAAAUCAUACUCUUGAUAUCUUGUAAAAAUAAUCGAAACGAUAAGGGGGGAAAAUGCAUGCAAGGAAUGUGAAUCAAUCUUGGACAUAUUUGCAGAUCAGACGUCAAUAAAGAAGACAACCUGUCUGUCUGAAAACCCCUUUUUUUCUUCUUUGCAGUGGAGAGACAAGUGGCAAUGAUGUUGAGAGAAAUUGAAACUAGACGAGAACAAAAAGUUUUCUACUUUGGAAAGAUUGUAAAGAUGUAUAUAUAGCUGAAGGAAGACAACGGAACAGGGACGAUUAGAACAAAUGUUGGCCAAUGUGCAUGAAUUGUUCCCAAUGAUCAGAAACAGGUAAUGAAACCAGAGGUUACAAUGUUUCAAAUUGUGGAGCAAUAAAGAUGAAAAACAUGGUGAGGGUAAAUGUUCUUGCGUUAUCCUUUUUGGUUAUUUCACUUUGAAAAGUUGGCAGGGGCCAUAAAAGUUAGCUGUAUACCCUUCCAUGUUCACUUGUUCUUGAGCCCCCCUUCCCAUGACUUUGAUCCGUC
RNAcentral lists this long non-coding RNA (798 nucleotides) under Gossypium barbadense (sea-island cotton). Its description in RNAcentral is "long non-coding RNA (GBAR_LNC020798)". Lineage: Eukaryota; Viridiplantae; Streptophyta; Magnoliopsida; Malvales; Malvaceae. The record is from RNAcentral.